UGUGUAUUCCCUGAUUCUAUUUUAGGCUGUUCCAAUCCUGUUUAUAAAGUCUUAAAGAGUUCUUGAAUGUUAUCGUGAAACGCAAAGGCCAGCAUUUUUUAUCUCAAUGGUUUCUAAUUACUUGCCUUUUUAUUGAUGCCAAUGUUUAUAUCUUGGUAACUACACCUUGAGUGCGUUAAAAGAUAUGGAUUUUGGAGCUUUGUUGAAUGAUCGACUUAUUAUUUAAUCAAAGAAAUCAUCCUUCUGCAAAUUUGAGUUAUUAUAAAAUGAAAAUAUCUUUGUGCUGAUUCCCUUUUUGCACCUACUCCCAAGCUUGAUCUGAAGAUAGAGGCUUCUAAGCUUCUGUAUUGUAUCCUGUCCUAACCUUUGAAUCUCAUUUAAAACUUGGGUAAAGUGCAUGUGUACACUGAAACAAGAUAAACCUUUCCCACAAUUUGGGUACAUUUAUGCUGUUAUGCUCUAGGAUGAGUUAGAAUAUAAGAACCAAGGACAUUUUUAAUAGUUUUUGCGCAUGUUUUCUUCUCUUUUCACCUCUCUUUAAUUUGGGAUAUGUGCUGGGUUUAAAUUGUUGAUUACAAUUUCACAAAAUACAUGAAGAAAGCCUUAUAGAGGGAAUGUUAAGUUGGGGAGGAAGUGCUCUUCAACACAUUUAUAUCAUCGACGCCUUUUGUUAUCCUUGUAACUCCGAAUAGCAGAAAUUUAAGCUGCCUGUUUGAAUAUUUUAAGUUGGGGAGGAAAUGCAGUAUUUAGCGGUUGUUUUGUUUGAUUUAGUAAUUGCGUUAAAUGGAAUCUGGAGAUGCAAAGUUUUAUGCAAUUGAAGAGUUGGGUAACCAAUUACAAGGUUGACUUACAAAAUUAAAAGUAUGGAUUCUUUCUCCAUGCAUUAUUCAUCAGGCAAUGUGAUAAUUAUUGCAGAUAUGUUGAUACUUGCUAUUCCAAUCUCAACUAUGCAUAACACUGUUCCGGAGAAAUAUAGAUUUGAUUUUGAGGAUUUUAUAUUCAAAAAGGGAGACUAGCUACGUGUUUAGAUUUCCAUGGUUGCUUCUGUUAUUCUGUGUUAAUGGAUUCCCCUUAAUGCAAGUGUGAAACACAUGCCUCAUUAUUAUAGCAGUUGUUUUGUCUGAUUCAGUAGUUGUUCUAAAUUGAAUCUGGAGAAGCAAAAUUUUAGUUCGAAUGAAGAGUUAGAUAUCCAAUCACAAUUCACAAGGUUGAGUUCCUAAUG
Molecule: long non-coding RNA, 1222 nt
Organism: Hibiscus syriacus
Lineage: Eukaryota; Viridiplantae; Streptophyta; Magnoliopsida; Malvales; Malvaceae
Exons: 2
Source: RefSeq, a predicted model, not a curated record